AUAGCCGCCCGGCUAGCUCAGUCGGUAGAGCAUGAGACCCUUAAUCUCAGGGUCGUGGGUUCGAGCCCCACGUUGGGCGUGAGAUUUUGUCGGAUGGAUUAGACUUGCAACUUGGAAGAAAGUAAACUAAAUAAGAAAACGUGGAAGUGACUCCGUAUACCUUGCAAAUCGGGAAUUGUUGGUCAGGCAAACGCAAAACGCUCCACCAACCAACUGGCUUCAGGAUCCCCUUUGUCUUGUUUCAUAAAAAAAAGAGGCCGAGCGUCGUGGUUCAUGCCUAUAAUCCUCUCACUUUGACCCUAGGAGUUUGAGACCAGCCUAGGCAACAUGGUGAGACCCCCGGCCCUUAAAAAAAAUACAAAUUUUCGCCAGGCUUGGUGGUGUGCGCCUGUAGUCCCAGCUAUUCCAGAGACUGAGGCAGGAGAAUCACUUGAACCCGGGAGGUAGAGGUUACAGUAAGCCGAGACUGUGCCAGUGCACUCCAGCCUGGACAACACAGUAAGACUCCGUCUCAAAAUAAUAAUAAAAAGAAAUUGGCCGGGCGUGGUGGCUCACGCCUGUAAUCCCAGCACUUUGGGAGGUCGAGGCGGGCGGAUCACGAGGUCAAGAGAUCGAGACCAUCCUGGCUAACAUGGUGAAACCCCGUCUCUACUAAAAAAGAGAAAAAAUUAGCCGGGCAUGGUGGUGGGCGCCUGUAGUCCCAGCUACUAGGGAGGCUGAGACAGGAGAAUAGCGUGAACCCGGAAGG
Molecule: long non-coding RNA, 748 nt
Organism: Homo sapiens (human)
Lineage: Eukaryota; Metazoa; Chordata; Mammalia; Primates; Hominidae
Source: Ensembl